RNAcentral lists this transfer RNA (96 nucleotides) under Rattus norvegicus (Norway rat). It matches the Rfam family "tRNA". Rfam says of the family: Transfer RNA (tRNA) molecules are approximately 80 nucleotides in length. Lineage: Eukaryota; Metazoa; Chordata; Mammalia; Rodentia; Muridae. The record is from Rfam by way of RNAcentral.
CCUUUGGUAGCUCAGUUGGUAGAGCGGAGGACUAUAGAAGAGUUUACUUUUCAUUGACCUAUCCUUAGGUUGCUGCUUUGAGUCUGGCUUGAAGGA